This 59-nucleotide microRNA precursor is filed under the name Sorex araneus (European shrew). RNAcentral's name for it is "miRNA (ENSSARG00000019467.1)". The record is from RNAcentral. Lineage: Eukaryota; Metazoa; Chordata; Mammalia; Eulipotyphla; Soricidae.
CUGCCCCUGCACUUACCCGGUCAGGGCCCGGCAAGGCGUGGUCAGCCUGCUGGACGAGC